RNAcentral lists this transfer RNA (73 nucleotides) under Paramuricea clavata. It matches the Rfam family "tRNA". From Rfam's summary of the family: Transfer RNA (tRNA) molecules are approximately 80 nucleotides in length. Their secondary structure includes four short double-helical elements and three loops (D, anti-codon, and T loops). Lineage: Eukaryota; Metazoa; Cnidaria; Anthozoa; Malacalcyonacea; Plexauridae. The record is from Rfam by way of RNAcentral.
GCCUCUGUAGCUCAGUUGGUUAUAGCGCUGCACCGCAAUCGCAGGGCCGUUGGUUCAAUUCCUACCAGAGGAC